Molecule: long non-coding RNA, 6038 nt
Filed under: Sus scrofa (pig)
Lineage: Eukaryota; Metazoa; Chordata; Mammalia; Artiodactyla; Suidae
Description: lncRNA (ENSSSCG00065051648.1)
Source: RNAcentral
GGGAGAGCUUAGCCCGGGCCACCGAGCGCCAGCACGUCACGACUGCUCCAAACCCUGCACGUCCCGGGAGCUGCGCUUUCUGCGUCUGGGAGAAUUCACCUGUGAAGCUCUCUGGUCCUGAACUUUUGUUUGUUAAGAUUUUUGGAUUUCUCAUUCAGUUUCAUUACCAGUGGACUCUGUGGUUUUUGAGAAGUUGGAUUGAAAAGUCAGAAGUCAGUUCUUAUCUUUCUUCUGCUAUAGUUUAGGUCUUCCUGCCCUGGCACUGAUUUCACAAAAGUUCCUGCUCAUAGGUCUCCAGUCUGAGACAUGGCAUAAGGAAGUUCAUGGGCUAGGGAGUCUAAUCAGAACUGUAGCUGCUGGCCUACACCAUAGCAACAUCAGAUUCGAGCCACAUCUGCAACCUAUGCUGGAUCCUCAACCCACUGAGUGAGGCCAUGGAUCGAACCAGCAUGCUCAUGGAUACCAGCUGGGUUUGUAACCCACUGAAGCACAAUAGGAGCUUCUAGAGCAGUCGAUUUUAAAGCAGAGAUUGAAGAAGUGUUAUGGGAAAUUUACAGGAAGGGUGCUUAAGGGAGCCAACUCAGCUGGAAAGAUAGCCAUUUGCACCUUCUCUUUUUUCUUGUGGCCUGCAAACUUCUCAUAUGAUAGCUGGAUCCUCAGCAUCCAUCUUGGAUUAUGUGGUGAUUUUUAGAAUGGAAGUAGGCCCUUGGCAAUAGAGCAUAAAGAUAAUUUAUCUUAGUCACUGAUGUCCCAUAGAGGCUUCCGUGGACUACGUCCUUCUAGGUUUCCUUUAGGUAAGAAAGAAGUAAAGUGUCUAACUUACUGUAGUCUCACAUAUUUUUUACUUUAUGCCAUUAAUUAUUUCUAACUGGUACAACUGGGUAUAAUAAAUAAGGAAAUACAGUUUUGUCCAGGCAAUUGCUUCCAACCUCAAAGCAGUUUUUCACAAUUUAGCUAUGUAAAUUUCUAUGCAAAUUUUUGCUUAUUGGAAGAUCAAAGAGUCCUGAAUUUUCACUGAUUACAAUACUAACGCUUAGUCACUAGGGAGCUGUGUACUAAACCCUUGCCUUGUAGAACACUGAUCUAUGAGUCUAAUUCUUUACAUGAAUUUUGAUGUACUUUGUCCUUUCUACAUAAUAGUAAUUUCUGGGUAAUUAGAACAUUGAAAGUGUUAAAAGUAUCAUCCCUAAGCACUGUAAAACAUGGACAAAGAAAUGUGCUGGGCAAUUAGAAAAGUUUCCUUCUGACUGCAAGGAAAUGAGUCAUAUGCAGCUGAGAGCAAGCUUUUUGACCUACAGAACUAGGAAGAAUCUGUCCCCCAAAUAGCCCUGAAAUGCAUGAGAAACAAUGAUUUCAGCCAUUCAUUUAAAGAGUGUUGUGUUUUUCUGAUUAUAAAUUUCUUAUUAGAGGGAGUUCCUGUCAAGGCUCAGCAGCUAACAAACCCAACUAGUAUCCAUGAAGACAUGGGUUCUAUUCCUGGCCUUGCUUAGUGGUUUAAGGAUUCAGCAAUGCAGUGAGCUGUGGUAUAGGUCACAAACAUGGCUCAGAUCCCACGUUGUUGUGGCUGUGGUGUAGAUUGGCAACUAUAGCUCCAAUUGUAACCCUAGCCUGAGAACAUCCAUAUGCUGUGGGUGCAGCCCUCAAAAAGAUUAAAAAAAAAAAAAUCUUACUGGGAGUUGUUCAUGGACAAAUGUUGCUGAUCUAUUCAUUUAUCACUGAAAUAUUUUUCAAAAUACGAUGUGAUGCUGGGGAAAUUUGGGGAAAGCAUAUUGGAAAACAUAUCUGCUGUAGUGAUUGAUUAAGUGUGAACUACAAGUAUUUCCAAUGUUGAUUACUUUGAAAAUUGCUAUUACUUUUUUGCCAAAAUGCUUAACUUGAGAGAGUUCUGUUUGAAAUGAUUGGGUAAAGAUAUACAAAGGAUAAAAAACAAUUCUGGAGGAAGGAAAAUAAAUUAAUGAAUAUUACAGUUAAUAAUCUGAACUCUGCUUGACCUGAAUUUAAUGUAGAAUUAGAUAUACAGAAAUCAGAAUUUCAUUCAUGGAACUGAUGCAAGAUUUUAAAGUCCUAGAAUAUCAUACUUUAAUAUAUUUAAAAAAUAUAUUUGAAAGCUUUAUUUUAGUUGAUGUAAGAUCAAGAUUGGAAAGAAUGAUGAAAUAAAGGCUCGCUUACCUGGAAUUUAUUUAAAACUGUAGAAAUAUCAUUCUUUAAAUUAGAAAAAAAAAUCAUGAAUUUUCAUAUAUAUUUUGAAAAGAAGUCAAUUCUCUAUACAUGACAAAACAUGAUUUUUAUAUAAUUACCAUAUAUUUACUGCAUUAUUUUACAUUCCAAAAAGGAUAUGAAUAUGUAAUAUAACCCCAAAAAGCAUAUUGUUGCUAAAAAAUACCCUUGUUUUAAAUUUCUUUGGAUUAUUUCUGUUUUUAUAGAGAUACUUCCAGGAGUCAAAUAAAAAUCAUAACUAACAAAAAUCUCUCUUUCUAAUGAAGAUAUAUUUUGAAAAAAUUUCUCUAAUGGAAAAGUAUUUUUGUCCCAUUUGUUAACAUAUCCCUUUUUUGAAGAAAAAGACAAUGUUUAAAAUAAUAGCAUUUUAGAAUAGAAAUUUGAUCUGCAGUGUAUUUCUGUUUAUCAGAGAAUAUCUAAUCCUUCGGUAUAAAAAGUUGUCAUCCUUUAGGACAUUAGCAGGAGUCAUUAGAAAUAACCCUUUGUACAUUCUACCUUCUAACAUUAAUUGUGUGAGGAAAGGAUGAUGGAGCAUGGGGACAACCCAUAGCAUCUCAACAAUAAAGAGGCUGGAAAUUAUUCACUCCAAAUUCUUUACUUUGUGGAAUAUGAAACUGACUAUUAGAGGUUAAUAGUAGGGAAGAAUCAGUAAUCAAUUGUUGGAUUAAAGCUAGAUAAUGAUUCUCUUAAUUAUUCCCAAUCCAAUGUUCAUACUAGAACAUUUCCUUCAAUUGUUUCUACCUCGUAAAGUUUUUCCUUUCCAAGAUUGUUAAUUUUAUAUUAUUGUAAAGUGGUCAUUCAUUCUUUCAUUUCUAAUAUAAUUAAAGUAUGAAUUUUAUAUUUUAAAAUAAAAUGUGAAUUUGCAUUUAGGAAUUCCUGCUGUGGCUUAGUGGGUUAAGAACCUGACAUAGUAUCUAUGAGGAUGCGGGCUUGAUGCCCAGCCUUGCCCAGUGGGUUAAGUUUCCAGAGUUGCCACAACCUGUGGUGUAGGUUGCAGAUGCAGCUCAGAUCCAGUGUUGCCUCCAUGGCUCUGGUGUAGGCCUCAGCUGUAGCUCCAAUUCCACCCCUGGCCCAGGAACAUCCAUAUACUGCAUGUGUGGCCAUAAAAAGAAAAAAAUUAUUUAGAAAGAUUUAUUUUUAUAAAAUAUAUAAAUGUAUUUAAAUAUUAUUUCAUUAUUAGAAAUAUCAGUUUCUAAAAAUUAGAAGUAUUACCAUUGUUAUUAUUUUGGUAAAAAGAUUAGUAAAGGACCCAUUUUUGUGUCUUAAUACUUGGACAAAUAAAUAGUUGGAUAAGUAUUUAAUACAUAGUAAUGUGCCUGUUACCAUGAGUCUAUAUGCAAUUAUUUAUCACAAAAUUUUUCACUUUUAGAGCAUGUUCUUAGUUUUUCAAACUUGACAUCCUCAAAGCUAUCACUGGAGUUGCUGUGUGUCAUGAUCCAAAUCCCGUGGGUCCCUGGCUGUAGUCAGUGAGAUAGUAGGUCGUCAUGCAAACUAAACUGGGGUGAAGAGGAUCUUUCUUAGGAGUUUGUAAUUAGGACUAAAGAGAGCAUCAGUACUAACUCACCAGUUGGAGAAAGCACAGAAUUUAGAAUUCAGCAAAUUUACUAGCUCUGUGUCUAAAAAAGUGAGCUAGUCAGUCUGCACUGUGAGAAUGAAGUCCAAAUUCAGGAAGUUAAAAGAAAACUAAACUGCAAAUACCUGGCUAUCUAAAAAUGAAAUACAAAUAAGGCAGAUAGUGAAAGAUCUCUAGAAAUAUUACCUAGUUUUAGGCACUCCCAAGAGUCAGUUGCAUCCCUGUCCUUCACAGAGCUUCAUUAUGUAAACUUAGUGUCUCAAAAAUCAGAACUUUUCCUCUUUUAGUGUUAGCUAAGUCUAUGUCACUUGCACCUAAGAGAAAGUAUCUGAGUGGGACUGCAGGUUUGAGGGAACAAUGAAUAUCCUAUUAGCUGGACUGAAAAGUAACAAUUCUUAUUGUAAAGUAGCGAAGUCUGUCUCCAUGUUGUUGCUUCUUGCAUUAGUUAAUCCUUUUUCAAAACAAUCACAACUUGUCUUCCAUUCAUAUGUUAAUACACUGCAGGGGUAUUUGAUUUGGGGCUAUUAGAAUAAAGCUGUUACAAAUAUUCUUCUAUAAGUUUUGUUUUCUGUCCUUAAACAUGAUUUUCCCAACAUUCUUUAACGGAAAAUUUCAAGCAUACAGAAAAGUUGAAAAUCUGACUAGAUUCUUCUGGUUACAUUUUCUACAAUUGAUUUGACAGUUAUUUGCCCAUCUACCCAUCCUUUUAUCCAUUUCUCAAUCCAUCUUAUUGUUUGGAUGUAUUUCAAAGUAAAAUACAACUAUCAGUAAGCAUCACUAUAAAUAUUUUAGCAUAUAUAUAGUUCAACAUUUUUUGUGGUUCUCAGUGUUCUUUGAUAUAAAAUUUAUAUAAAGUAAAAUGCACAAAUAUUAAGUGUACUAUUCAGUUGAGUUUUGGCAAACUCAUGUAGUAACCUAAACUUCUUUCAAGAUCUAGAAUGUUACCAUUACCAAGAAUUCUCUCUCAUGCCCCUCCUUAGUCAAUCUUUGCCCCAACCACCAUGCGGCAACCACUUUUAUAUUUUUUCAUAAUAGAUUUGUUGUACUAUUUUAAGAAAUUGAAAUGAGAGGAAUCCUAUAAUAUAGAUGUAUUAUUUACUCAGUGUUAUAUAUAUAUACAUAAUUAUAUAUACAUAUAUUUUAUUUUUAGGGCUGCACCUGUGGCAUAUGGAGAUUCCCUGGCUAGGGAUUGAAUCAGAGCUAUAGCUGCCAGCCACAGCAAUGCAGGAUCUGAGCAGCAUCUGCAACCUACACCAUAGCUCAUGGCAACACUGGAUCCUUAACCCACUGAGCGAGGCCAGGGGUUGAACCUGCAAUCUUGUGGUUCCUAGUCGGAUUUGUUUUUGCUGAGCCACAACAGGAGCUCUUCAGUGUUGUAUUUUUGAUAUUUAUCCAUGUUGUGUGUAUCAAUGGUCCAUUACUUUACAUGACAGAAUGGUAGUCCAUUUGGAUGUAUAUACCAUAGCCAUUCUUCUACUGAUGGCACAUGGCCUGUGUUGGUUUUGGACUCUUAUAAAAAAUUAUUGUAUAUAUCCUUUUAUGGAUAUAUUUUUAUUUCUCUUGGACAAUGAUAUAAAUUUGAAAUUUCUGAUCCACAGAGUAGGCUUUAUUUAAUAAACACAGGGUCUAUUUAGCUUUGCAACAAAAUUGCCAGAUCUUUUCCCUCAGUGGUUGUAUCUUUUUACUGCUAACAAUAUUGUGAGUCAUAUUUUUAUACUUAUCAACAUCUGGUGUCAACUGUACUUUUUAAUUUUUUGCUAUUAAGUCAUUUUGUCAGUUAAUUUUUUCAAAUUUGUUAUCAAGAAUUUUCUUUGUCUACUUUAAGAUAUUUGCAUUUCUGUAACAAUCUUAGAACCAGUUUUGCAUUAUCUUCAAAAACUCCUGCUAGAAUUAUAGCUGAGAUUGCUUUGAAUUUAUGGAUUAAUUUGGGGAGAACUGAAUUCUUCAAAUUAUUGACAUUCAAUUCAUCAGCAUGGUAUAGCUCUCUAUUAGGUCUUCUUGUAGACUCUCAUCAAUGUGAGGUUUUCAGUGUGUUAAUACUGCACCUUUUUUGCUAAAAUUAUGUGUAAUUAUUGUACUCUUUAUGAUGACUAGUGAAAAUGCAUUUUUCAAAUUCUAUUUUCAUAUUGUUGACACACAUAAAUGUUCUUAUUUGAUAUUUUCCUUGAGUUCUGGGAGUUCUUGUGUCUUGUGGAUGAAAAUCCUUUAGUAUAUUAUGAAUUUGCAAAUAAAUUCUGUGUAUGACUUA